GGGGUCAUAGCUCAGUUGGUAGAGCGCGUCGUUCGCAAUGACGAGGUCAGGGGUUCGACUCCCCUUGGCUCCA
RNAcentral lists this transfer RNA (73 nucleotides) under Roseibacillus sp. RNAcentral's name for it is "tRNA-Ala". It matches the Rfam family "tRNA". From Rfam's summary of the family: Transfer RNA (tRNA) molecules are approximately 80 nucleotides in length. Their secondary structure includes four short double-helical elements and three loops (D, anti-codon, and T loops). The record is from RNAcentral. RNAcentral also lists the same sequence under 5 other names. Lineage: Bacteria; Pseudomonadati; Verrucomicrobiota; Verrucomicrobiia; Verrucomicrobiales; Verrucomicrobiaceae.